Molecule: signal recognition particle RNA, 95 nt
Filed under: Alphaproteobacteria bacterium CG_4_10_14_0_8_um_filter_37_21
Lineage: Bacteria; Pseudomonadati; Pseudomonadota; Alphaproteobacteria
Description: signal recognition particle sRNA small type
Rfam family: Bacterial small signal recognition particle RNA
About the family: The signal recognition particle (SRP) is a universally conserved ribonucleoprotein involved in the co-translational targeting of proteins to membranes.
Source: RNAcentral
GAUUGGAAAGGGUGGGCAAAAAUCUCGCCAACCCGGUCAGGUCCGGAAGGAAGCAGCCGUAACGAAUCAUUUUUGGGUCAUCCUUUCUACUAUCU